This 202-nucleotide ribosomal RNA is filed under the name Campylobacter jejuni. Its description in RNAcentral is "partial 23S ribosomal RNA". It matches the Rfam family "Bacterial large subunit ribosomal RNA", at positions 1896 to 2097 of the family's 2925-position model. The record is from RNAcentral. Lineage: Bacteria; Pseudomonadati; Campylobacterota; Epsilonproteobacteria; Campylobacterales; Campylobacteraceae.
UUAGCGAAGCUCUUGAUCGAAGCCCGAGUAAACGGCGGCCGUAACUAUAACGGUCCUAAGGUAGCGAAAUUCCUUGUCGGUUAAAUACCGACCUGCAUGAAUGGCGUAACGGGAUGGGAGCUGUCUCAAAGAGGGAUCCAGUGAAAUUGUAGUGGAGGUGAAAAUUCCUCCUACCCGCGGCAAGACGGAAAGACCCCGUGGA